GCCCCCAUCGUCUAGGGGACUAGGACGACACCCUUUCAAGGUGUAGACAGCGAUUCGAAUUCGCUUGGGGGCGCCA
This 76-nucleotide transfer RNA is filed under the name Dehalococcoidales bacterium. RNAcentral's name for it is "tRNA-Glu". It matches the Rfam family "tRNA". Rfam says of the family: Transfer RNA (tRNA) molecules are approximately 80 nucleotides in length. Their secondary structure includes four short double-helical elements and three loops (D, anti-codon, and T loops). Further hydrogen bonds mediate the characteristic L-shaped molecular structure. tRNAs have two regions of fundamental functional importance: the anti-codon, which is responsible for specific mRNA codon recognition, and the 3' end, to which the tRNAs corresponding amino acid is attached (by aminoacyl-tRNA synthetases). tRNAs cope with the degeneracy of the genetic code in two manners: having more than one tRNA (with a specific anti-codon) for a particular amino acid; and 'wobble' base-pairing, i.e. permitting non-standard base-pairing at the 3rd anti-codon position. The record is from RNAcentral. Lineage: Bacteria; Bacillati; Chloroflexota; Dehalococcoidia; Dehalococcoidales. RNAcentral also lists the same sequence under 1 other name.